GAUGAUCCAUGGGGAAGUGUGGCAGCUGUGGCUCAACCUUCCACCGCAAAGCAUAUGGAUGCAAAUAAUGAUUCCUGGGGGAGUGUGGCAGCGAAAGCUCAAACUUCUACUGCAGAGCAUAUGGAUGCAAAUAAUGAUUCCUGGGGAAGUGUGGCAGCUAAAACUUCUACUGCAGAGCCUAUGGACACAAAGGAUGAUUCCUGGGGAAGUGUGGCAGCUAAAGCUUCUAUCGCAGAGCCUAUGGACGCAGGGAAUGAUUCCUGGGGGAGUGUGGCAGCAAAGGCUCAGACUUCUACUGCACAGCAGGAGUCCUGGG
This 316-nucleotide long non-coding RNA is filed under the name Hordeum vulgare. RNAcentral describes it as "long non-coding RNA (HVUL_LNC014970)". The record is from RNAcentral. Lineage: Eukaryota; Viridiplantae; Streptophyta; Magnoliopsida; Poales; Poaceae.